Molecule: ribosomal RNA, 513 nt
Filed under: Dacus eclipsis
Lineage: Eukaryota; Metazoa; Arthropoda; Insecta; Diptera; Tephritidae
Description: partial 16S ribosomal RNA
Rfam family: Bacterial large subunit ribosomal RNA (bases 389-513)
Source: RNAcentral
GUCUUUUUGAGUUAUUUUUAAAGUCUGACCUGCCCACUGAAUUUUUUUAAAUGGCCGCAGUAUUCUAACUGUGCAAAGGUAGCAUAAUCAUUAGUCUUUUAAUUGAAGGCUGGUAUGAACGGUUGGACGAAGUAUAAGCUGUUUCAUGUAAAUUUAUAGUAGAAUUUUAUAUUUUAGUUAAAAAGCUAAAAUGUAAUUAAAAGACGAGAAGACCCUAUAAAUCUUUAUAUUUUAUGUAAUUUAAAUUUUUUUGAUUUUUUUUAUUUUUAUUAUAUCAAAUAUUUUGUUGGGGUGAUAUUAAAAUUUGAUGAACUUUUAGUUGUUUUAAGUCAUUAAUUUAUGAAUUAUUGAUCCAUUAGUAGUGAUUAUAAGAUUAAGUUACUUUAGGGAUAACAGCGUAAUUUUUUUGGAGAGUUCUUAUCGAUAAAAAAGUUUGCGACCUCGAUGUUGGAUUAAGAUAUAGAUUUAGGUGUAGUCGCUUAAAUACUGAGUCUGUUCGACUUUUAAAUUCUU